This 394-nucleotide ribosomal RNA is filed under the name uncultured microorganism. RNAcentral's name for it is "bacterial SSU rRNA". It matches the Rfam family "Archaeal small subunit ribosomal RNA", at positions 330 to 724 of the family's 1478-position model. The record is from RNAcentral.
GUGCACCAGUCGCGAAUCCUUUACAAUGCACGAAAGUGUGAUAAGGUUACCCGGAGUGCUAAAAUUAAAUUUUAGCUGUUAUAGGUGUGUAAAUAACCCUAUGAGAAAGGAGAGGGCAAGGCUGGUGCCAGCCGCCGCGGUAAAACCAGCUCUUCAAGUGGUCGGGAAUAUUAUUGGGCUUAAAGUGUCCGUAGCCGGUUUAGUAAGUUCCUGGUUAAAUCUGGCAGCUUAACUGUCAGUCAGCUAGGAAUACUACUUUACUAGAGGGUGGGAAAGGUUUGAGGUACUCCAGGGGUAGCGGUGAAAUGCGAUAAGUCCUUGGGGGACCACCAGUGGCGAAGGCGUCAAACUGGAACACGCCUGACGGUGAGGGACGAAAGCCAGGGGAGCGAAC